This 506-nucleotide ribosomal RNA is filed under the name uncultured bacterium. RNAcentral describes it as "partial 16S ribosomal RNA". It matches the Rfam family "Bacterial small subunit ribosomal RNA", at positions 29 to 523 of the family's 1533-position model. The record is from RNAcentral.
AGUGAACGCUGGCGGUAGGCCUAACACAUGCAAGUCGAACGGCAGCACAGGGGGGCUUGCUCCCUGGGUGGCGAGUCGCAGACGGGUGAGGAAUCCGUCGGAAUCUACUCUGUCGGGGGGGAUAACGUAGGGACACUUACGCUAAUACCGCAUACUACCUACAGGUGAAAGCAGGAGACCUUCGGGCCUUACGCGCUUGAAUGAGCAGAUGGGGGAUUUGCUAGUAGGCGGGGUAACGUCCCACCAAGGCGGCGAUCCCUAGCUGGUCUGAGAGGAUGACCAGCCACACUGGAACUGAGACACGGUCCAGACUCCUACGGGAGGCAGCAGUGGGGAAUAUUGCACAAUGGGCGCAAGCCUGAUGCAGCCAUGCCGCGUGUAUGAAGAAGGCCUUCGGGUUGUAAAGUACUUUCAGCGGGGAGGAAGGCGGUGAAGUUAAUAACUUCACCGAUUGACGUUACCCGCAGAAGAAGCACCGGCUAACUCCGUGCCAGCCGCCGCGGUAA